UUCAUGUUGUAGCAUGGGUCAAAAUUUUCUUCCUUUUUUAGGCUGAAUAAUAUUCCAUUAUAUAUAUGAAUUACGUAUUUGAGUCAUGUAGAUGAAUUAUAUAUAUGAAUAUAUAUCUCCUAUUUAUUUUUAAAGGCAGCAAAUUGUAUUAAUGAUUUUGAUAUAUAUUGGCUUUUAAGUGUAAAGACUAUUACCAUUUAACUCUUGGACCCUAAAACCGUUUUUCUUAAGCAGCAAAUUAUCAUCCUGAUGGAACUAUUCAAGUAAGCAAUGGUAGCCUUGCCUUUUACCCAGCACAGACGAAUGUAUUUCCCAGACCUACUCAGCCAUUUGUCAAUAGCCGGGGAUCUGUUAGAGGAUGUACUCGUGGUGGGAGAUUAAUAACCAAUUCCUAUCGGUCCCCUGGUGGUUAUAAAGGUAUGCCCCGAAUACAAUUUAAUUAUACUGAA
This 449-nucleotide small RNA is filed under the name Pongo abelii (Sumatran orangutan). Its description in RNAcentral is "retained intron". Lineage: Eukaryota; Metazoa; Chordata; Mammalia; Primates; Hominidae. The record is from RNAcentral.